CAGUGAUGCUCUGGAAAGCGCACCGACCCUUUGGGCUGGUGCCACCGAAGGGGUAACCCCGCUGCACCGCCGAUAUCGGUGGCGCCUCGGGGAAAACUCUCAGGUUCCGCGACAGAGGGGGCUCC
This 125-nucleotide non-coding RNA is filed under the name Novosphingobium sp. Fuku2-ISO-50. RNAcentral's name for it is "Glycine riboswitch aptamer". It matches the Rfam family "Glycine riboswitch aptamer". Rfam says of the family: This family represents the bacterial glycine riboswitch. Glycine riboswitches usually consist of two metabolite-binding aptamers domains with similar structures in tandem. The record is from Rfam by way of RNAcentral. Lineage: Bacteria; Pseudomonadati; Pseudomonadota; Alphaproteobacteria; Sphingomonadales; Sphingomonadaceae. RNAcentral also lists the same sequence under 1 other name.